CGUGUAGGUGGUCAGGUAAGUCAGAUGUGAAAGCCUUCUGCUUAACAGAAGAAGUGCAUUUGAAACUGCUUGGCUAGAGUACGGGAGAGGAGAGUGGAAUUCCCGGUGUAGAGGUGAAAUUCGUAGAUAUCGGGAGGAACACCAGUGGCGAAGGCGGCUCUCUGGUCCGAUACUGACGCUGAGACGCGAAAGCGUGGGGAGCAAACAGGAUUAGAUACCCUGGUAGUCCACACCGUAAACGAUGGGCACUAGGUGCAGGAGGUAUUGACCCCUUCUGUGCCGAAGCUAACGCAUUAAGUGCCCCGCCUGGGGAGUACGGCCGCAAGGCUAAA
Molecule: ribosomal RNA, 332 nt
Filed under: uncultured bacterium
Lineage: Bacteria
Description: bacterial SSU rRNA
Rfam family: Bacterial small subunit ribosomal RNA
Source: RNAcentral